RNAcentral lists this ribosomal RNA (2900 nucleotides) under Klebsiella pneumoniae UCI 34. RNAcentral's name for it is "bacterial LSU rRNA". It matches the Rfam family "Bacterial large subunit ribosomal RNA". Lineage: Bacteria; Pseudomonadati; Pseudomonadota; Gammaproteobacteria; Enterobacterales; Enterobacteriaceae. The record is from RNAcentral.
UUAAGCGACUAAGCGUACACGGUGGAUGCCCUGGCAGUCAGAGGCGAUGAAGGACGUGCUAAUCUGCGAAAAGCGUCGGUAAGGUGAUAUGAACCGUUAUAACCGACGAUGUCCGAAUGGGGAAACCCAGUGUGAUUCGUCACACUAUCGUUAACUGAAUACAUAGGUUAACGAGGCGAACCGGGGGAACUGAAACAUCUAAGUACCCCGAGGAAAAGAAAUCAACCGAGAUUCCCCCAGUAGCGGCGAGCGAACGGGGAGCAGCCCAGAGUCUGAAUCAGCUUGUGUGUUAGUGGAACGGUCUGGAAAGUCCGACGGUACAGGGUGAUAGUCCCGUACACCAAAAUGCACAGGUUGUGAACUCGAAGAGUAGGGCGGGACACGUGGUAUCCUGUCUGAAUAUGGGGGGACCAUCCUCCAAGGCUAAAUACUCCUGACUGACCGAUAGUGAACCAGUACCGUGAGGGAAAGGCGAAAAGAACCCCGGCGAGGGGAGUGAAAAAGAACCUGAAACCGUGUACGUACAAGCAGUGGGAGCACCUUCGGGUGUGACUGCGUACCUUUUGUAUAAUGGGUCAGCGACUUAUAUUCUGUAGCAAGGUUAACCGUAUAGGGGAGCCGCAGGGAAACCGAGUCUUAACUGGGCGUUAAGUUGCAGGGUAUAGACCCGAAACCCGGUGAUCUAGCCAUGGGCAGGUUGAAGGUUGGGUAACACUAACUGGAGGACCGAACCGACUAAUGUUGAAAAAUUAGCGGAUGACUUGUGGCUGGGGGUGAAAGGCCAAUCAAACCGGGAGAUAGCUGGUUCUCCCCGAAAGCUAUUUAGGUAGCGCCUCGUGAAUUCAUCUUCGGGGGUAGAGCACUGUUUCGGCUAGGGGGUCAUCCCGACUUACCAACCCGAUGCAAACUACGAAUACCGAAGAAUGUUAUCACGGGAGACACACGGCGGGUGCUAACGUCCGUCGUGAAGAGGGAAACAACCCAGACCGCCAGCUAAGGUCCCAAAGUCAUGGUUAAGUGGGAAACGAUGUGGGAAGGCACAGACAGCCAGGAUGUUGGCUUAGAAGCAGCCAUCAUUUAAAGAAAGCGUAAUAGCUCACUGGUCGAGUCGGCCUGCGCGGAAGAUGUAACGGGGCUAAACCAUGCACCGAAGCUGCGGCAGCGACACUAUGUGUUGUUGGGUAGGGGAGCGUUCUGUAAGCCUGCGAAGGUGUGCUGUGAGGCAUGCUGGAGGUAUCAGAAGUGCGAAUGCUGACAUAAGUAACGAUAAAGCGGGUGAAAAGCCCGCUCGCCGGAAGACCAAGGGUUCCUGUCCAACGUUAAUCGGGGCAGGGUGAGUCGACCCCUAAGGCGAGGCCGAAAGGCGUAGUCGAUGGGAAACAGGUUAAUAUUCCUGUACUUGGUGUUACUGCGAAGGGGGGACGGAGAAGGCUAUGUUAGCCGGGCGACGGUUGUCCCGGUUUAAGCAUGUAGGCUGAUUGUCCAGGCAAAUCCGGAUAAUCAAGGCUGAGGUGUGAUGACGAGGCACUACGGUGCUGAAGUAACAAAUGCCCUGCUUCCAGGAAAAGCCUCUAAGCAUCAGGUAACAUCAAAUCGUACCCCAAACCGACACAGGUGGUCAGGUAGAGAAUACCAAGGCGCUUGAGAGAACUCGGGUGAAGGAACUAGGCAAAAUGGUGCCGUAACUUCGGGAGAAGGCACGCUGGUGUGUAGGUGAAGUCCCUGCGGAUGGAGCUGAGACCAGUCGAAGAUACCAGCUGGCUGCAACUGUUUAUUAAAAACACAGCACUGUGCAAACACGAAAGUGGACGUAUACGGUGUGACGCCUGCCCGGUGCCGGAAGGUUAAUUGAUGGGGUUAUCCGUAAGGAGAAGCUCUUGAUCGAAGCCCCGGUAAACGGCGGCCGUAACUAUAACGGUCCUAAGGUAGCGAAAUUCCUUGUCGGGUAAGUUCCGACCUGCACGAAUGGCGUAAUGAUGGCCAGGCUGUCUCCACCCGAGACUCAGUGAAAUUGAACUCGCUGUGAAGAUGCAGUGUACCCGCGGCAAGACGGAAAGACCCCGUGAACCUUUACUAUAGCUUGACACUGAACAUUGAGCCUUGAUGUGUAGGAUAGGUGGGAGGCUUUGAAGCGUGGACGCCAGUCUGCGUGGAGCCAACCUUGAAAUACCACCCUUUAAUGUUUGAUGUUCUAACGUUGGCCCCUUACCGGGGUUGCGGACAGUGUCUGGUGGGUAGUUUGACUGGGGCGGUCUCCUCCCAAAGCGUAACGGAGGAGCACGAAGGUUAGCUAAUCCUGGUCGGACAUCAGGAGGUUAGUGCAAUGGCAUAAGCUAGCUUGACUGCGAGCGUGACGGCGCGAGCAGGUGCGAAAGCAGGUCAUAGUGAUCCGGUGGUUCUGAAUGGAAGGGCCAUCGCUCAACGGAUAAAAGGUACUCCGGGGAUAACAGGCUGAUACCGCCCAAGAGUUCAUAUCGACGGCGGUGUUUGGCACCUCGAUGUCGGCUCAUCACAUCCUGGGGCUGAAGUAGGUCCCAAGGGUAUGGCUGUUCGCCAUUUAAAGUGGUACGCGAGCUGGGUUUAGAACGUCGUGAGACAGUUCGGUCCCUAUCUGCCGUGGGCGCUGGAGAAUUGAGGGGGGCUGCUCCUAGUACGAGAGGACCGGAGUGGACGCAUCACUGGUGUUCGGGUUGUCAUGCCAAUGGCACUGCCCGGUAGCUAAAUGCGGAAGAGAUAAGUGCUGAAAGCAUCUAAGCACGAAACUUGCCCCGAGAUGAGUUCUCCCUGAGACUUUAAGUCUCCUGAAGGAACGUUGAAGACGACGACGUUGAUAGGCCGGGUGUGUAAGCGCAGCGAUGCGUUGAGCUAACCGGUACUAAUGAACCGUGAGGCUUAACCUU